GGCUGGCCAGAAGGUAGUGAGUUAUUUCAAUUGAUCAUCCACAAUCAGUUACAGAUGGUUACAAAUCCAGCUUCUUGUUCUACUCCUUUCUCACUAUUGCACUUGACUAGUCUUAA
Unclassified non-coding RNA from Microcebus murinus (gray mouse lemur), 116 nucleotides. It matches the Rfam family "Y RNA". Rfam says of the family: Y RNAs are components of the Ro ribonucleoprotein particle (Ro RNP), in association with Ro60 and La proteins. The Y RNAs and Ro60 and La proteins are well conserved, but the function of the Ro RNP is not known. The record is from Ensembl. NCBI's taxonomy places the organism in Eukaryota, Metazoa, Chordata, Mammalia, Primates, Cheirogaleidae.